AUAAAUUAGCAUGUGUUGAGUUCAUUAUGAAAUGCGUUAGCAAGAGUAAUGGCUUCAAAGAAAUGCUCACUUAUUUUUGUUGUUCUGGUUUUUUGUAUGUUGAGUUUUUCAUCAAAUAUAUUAGCAAGGAACAUUGCUGAUGCUUCAGAGCUUUAUGCAUUUUCUGAUGAAAAGAGUAUGAACAAGAGACUUCUUCUGCAACAAAAACGACUACCUCCAUGCAAGAGUAGAAGAAAUCAAGAGGAAAGAGAUAAUCCUGGUUGCCACAAUUAUUAAUGAAUAAUUGUAACGUGGAAAGAAAAAUAAAAUAAAGAGAUGUAUUAUUAAAUGUGAUUGUUUAGUUUGAUUUUCCUUCAUGCAAUUUCAAAGAAUAAAAUUUGUAAAACAAAUUGAUAAUAAAAGUUUUGUCAAUUAUUUUCUAUGGUAAUAAAUUACUUUGAUGGUAA
Medicago truncatula (barrel medic) is the source of this 446-nucleotide long non-coding RNA. RefSeq lists it as uncharacterized. The record is from RefSeq and is a predicted model, not a curated record. The transcript is spliced from 2 exons. NCBI's taxonomy places the organism in Eukaryota, Viridiplantae, Streptophyta, Magnoliopsida, Fabales, Fabaceae.